RNAcentral lists this ribosomal RNA (492 nucleotides) under uncultured bacterium. RNAcentral's name for it is "partial 16S ribosomal RNA". It matches the Rfam family "Bacterial small subunit ribosomal RNA", at positions 29 to 507 of the family's 1533-position model. The record is from RNAcentral.
AGUGAACGCUGGCGGUAGGCCUAACACAUGCAAGUCGAACGGCAGCACAGUAAGAGCUUGCUCUUACGGGUGGCGAGUGGCGGACGGGUGAGGAAUACAUCGGAAUCUACUUUUUCGUGGGGGCUAACGUAGGGAAACUUACGCUAAUACCGCAUACGACCUACGGGUGAAAGCAGGGGAUCUUCGGACCUUGCGCGAUUGAAUGAGCCGAUGUCGGAUUAGCUAGUUGGCGGGGUAAAGGCCCACCAAGGCGACGAUCCGUAGCUGGUCUGAGCGGAUGAUCAGCCACACUGGAACUGAGACACGGUCCAGACUCCUACGGGAGGCAGCAGUGGGGAAUAUUGGACAAGGGGGGCAAGCCUGAUCCAGCCAUACCGCGUGGGUGAAGAAGGCCUUCGGGUUGUAAAGCCCUGUUGUUGGGAAAGAAAAGCAGCAGGUUAAUACCCCGCUGUUCUGACGGUACCCAAAGAAUAAGCACCGGCUAACUUCGUG